UAUGCAUUAUAAUAUUUAUACAUAUGAAAUAUAAAUAUAUAUAUUAUUAGUGUAUUGAAUGAGAAAAUGCCAUAUGGCACUACAAAAAAAAUGCCAUUUAGUGGCACACACUUUUAGUGGCAUUUAACUUUUAUGUCAUUAUUUUAGGUUUUUAAUGGCACUUUAUGUAUAUCAUAUUUGAUUGACACAAUCUUUUAGUGGCAUUUAGUUUUAAUGCCACUAAUUUAGGUUUUAGUGGCACUUUUCAUGUGACAUCUUUAUUCUUUACACAAUUUUAAUGACAUUUAGGUUAUAUAUGCCACUAAUUCACAAUUUCACUUUCACUUUAACAUUUCACUCCUUGUGUCACUAAUCUAGGUCAUCGAAACUCAAAAAUUUCUCCAUUUUUACCUCCAAACUUUUCCUAAAAUUUGCAUUAAAGUUUCUGUUUUUCCCUCCAUCAAAAUUCCUCUCUAAAAUUUACAUUAUUAUUUAUUUUUCCCCUCCAACAAAAUUUCUCUCAGAAAAAAAGAAGUUUCCCUCUCACUUGCCAGUUUUCCUCUCCCCCUCGUCUCUCUCAUUCGUUGUGGUGUCCAAGUUUGCUUUCAAUCGUUCUUUAAAACUACAGGUGGUUCGCUUGUGUUUUUUCUAGUUCCUACUCUUGAGGUACGAUAUGUACACUAUUGGGUUUCUUAUCUCAUAACAACGCCCUAACCCUAGUUCCCGUUUGGUGUUUCUCUUCAAAAAUUAUCAUCAGUAGGUGGUGCGCUAUAGAUUGUUCCACGAAUCCACUUUCUAUUUGAGGUACGACAUGUUAAAUUUUGAGUUUCGUAUCUUAUAAUACUCUGUUUAAUUUUUCAAAAUCACGUUGCCCUGAUUUGUUCAUCGGUUUAUCUUUGCUAAUAUCAUCAGGAACAAAGUGUGAAAUUGCUAUCCAUUGCUGAAUAAUACUAAAAAUAUAUUUUUGUGCUAGGGAUUAUAUUACACCUGAUCAAGGGUUAUUAUAUUUGCGCAGACCAAAUUUUAUAAGCAUUUCCUUUGAUCUUUACUGAUGAAUUUGAGUCCCAUGACUUUCCGCCCGUCGGAACUUUUGGUCAAGCUCCGCCACUAACUGUCUAUGUACAUAAACAAUGGCAUUUGGGUCCAGGAAUUCUACAAAUGUUUUCUUGUUUUUUUUCAUAGACUUUUGAGUCAUUUGAUCACAUUUCACAGCAAACAACAGUUGUUGCCUUUGUUCCAUUCUCUGGCUCCUCCACUGCACCGCUAUGUGUGAAAGCAAUGCCAUCACACUGCGACCUGCAGUUGUCGCACGUCAGCCUACCUUUGUUGGUCGUCUCCUGAUUUCUGAGUGAUCCACUUGAAUUUGUAAGUUGUAUUUUUAUUUUCCUUUUUUCCUAAAACUUGGUAUUUUCAGUUGAAACUUGGGCAUGUUGUAAAUUGUAAGUAGCCUCUUUACCCACCCUUUGAGACUUUACUUGUAUAACUAAUUAGUUUUGCUUAAAUGAGACUAUAUUUUCUGUAACGAGUUAUUUCUUUCUUACAAAGUCAAUUCAAAUAAACAAUUUUGACAUUUUUUUGUGAUAUUUGGUGUGGAAAUAUGGUGCCAACAUCUAAGUUCAGUUGCUUGUCUAGUGAAGAGGACCUUGUAUUACAGCUAGGGGUGUAAACGAGCCGAGCUACUCGAGAUUGGCUAGUAAAAAGCUCGAAACAAGCCGGGCUUAAUUCAACCCAUUUAGUUUUCCAGGUAGAAGAAGCUCAGCAGAAAUGGCGUGUGGCGUUUACUAAAACGAAAAACAAGCUGAAAAUUGCAUUUUCUAAACAGUAAAAGAGGCGAACAUAGAAGAAAUCAGGUAACAGGCAUGAUGCACUGAUGCAGACUGUUAUAACUUUUCUUAUUCCGAUGCACUGAUGAAGGCAUGAUAAGCAAUCCAGCUUAACAAAGGAAACACGGGCGCAGUGGUGGUGAUGUCUAUGGAGCUUACGGUAGUUGUUCUUCUGGAUGCAGUGGUAGUGCUGGACAUUUGCAUAAUUUAUUGUCGCCAGGGGUUCAAGGCACAUCCCUGCUUCUAGAAGGCAGGGUUAUAAUUACUGAAGAUGAAGCCUGAAGCCAGCCUAAACAACCAGAAGACCUGUUGAACCGAACCGGUUAUGGCCCACCUUAAGAGGACAACUGAACCAGAAGACCAUGUCCCGACACUAUUUUACCAAGGUUUCGUUUCUUCAUUUCCAUAAAACCUUUGCCUUGAUCAUAUUCCAAACCUUUGACACUUUGUAUUGUUCUCUUUUUUAUUGCAUUGUGUGAAGAUUUUCUGGUCCUUUUGACCCCAUAAGAGGCGCUUUCAAAGACUAAUAUUACUUUUAACUUGUCCAUGCAAUCCCUUGAGGAGCUCCUACAUAAAGAACCCCUGAGGCGUCUCAGACUCGUUUAUUGGGCGUUUCGCCUUGAGGCGCACACCUUAAUCGUUUUUUAAACCAUGGUGAAAGCAUAAACAUUCUCAUCAUGAACUCUCUUUUUGUUAGGUGAAGGAAAUUCAGCUUACUAGAGGCAUUGAAAAAACCACCUAAUGCUUGGUGAAGGGCUUAAAAUGUUGUGAAAAGAAGUUAUAUACAACCGUUGGUACUGGCUAGAAGAAACCUUUGGAAACCUGAGUACGAAACUGGAUAUUCAACUCUGGUUUUGUUGCAGGUUUGAUGACGUUGUUUCGUCGACGAUUUUAUGGCGGCAACGCGAUCUGCAGAUAUGUUUUGGCCUUGUAUUAACACGAUUUGCAGAUCUAUUUUUGAAACCCAAGUCUUGAAUACUAGUAGGUCCUAAAGUUAUGAAAUUUUUGUAAUUAACAACAGCCACGUUAAAGUGCUUAAUAAGAUUCUUGUUUAAUGCAGUAGAUAUAGGUUUAGGGUUAAUGCUUAUUGGAUUAUAGAAAGGAAAUGUUUGGUCAA
Long non-coding RNA from Helianthus annuus (common sunflower), 2919 nucleotides. RefSeq lists it as uncharacterized. The record is from RefSeq and is a predicted model, not a curated record. The transcript has 6 exons. NCBI's taxonomy places the organism in Eukaryota, Viridiplantae, Streptophyta, Magnoliopsida, Asterales, Asteraceae.